GCGGCUGCACGUGGAUGCCUUUCCCAGCGUCUCGCGUAUUUCGCCUAAUUUAUUUAAUAAAAUGUGGAAUUUAGAUUAUUAAAGUGUUUAAUUAGAGGGAAAUGGUUUCGGGGCGUGUAAUUAAUAUAGUGAGUAUUGUUGUUGAAAGUUUAUUAGUGAAUAGUGAAGGGAUUUGUGCAUGAGGACGCUAGGGCGUGGCUCGUUGAUGGAUUGGUGAUGAGGCCUAAUUUGGUAAAUAAUUCGCCAAAUUGUUGCUAAAAAGACUGGUACAUUGUGCAUUGAGUGGGAUUUUUUAAAAUAAUAAAAUGCUAAAUGGACUGAAAAACGAGUAGCGUCUCCACAGAGCUGCGAGACGAAGGGAUGGUGCGGCGAGGGGGGCACCCGUACGUGUUCGUGUUGGUAAUGACGCCUAAUCUGUUAAAUAAUUGGUGAAAUAUUGCUAAAAAAAAAACUGGUAAAUGGAGGGUAAAUGCAUCGGCCCAGAAAAGUGUGUUUAUUGAGUGGAAUUUUUUGAAAAAAUAAAAUGCUAAAUGGACUGAAAAACGAGUAGCGUUUCCAUAGAGCUGGAGGACGAAGGGAUGGUGCGGUGAGGGCGGGGUAGCCGUACGUGUCCGUGCUUGUUGACGGCUUGGUGAUGCCUAAUUUAUUAAAUAAAUAGUGAAAUAUUGCUGAAAAAGACUGGUACAUUGGGUGUAAAUGGAUUGGCCCAGGAAAGUGUGUGGAUUCAAUGACAUUUUUUAAAAUAAUAAAAUGCUAAAUGGACAGUUGAGAAAUGGGGAGCAUCUCGACAGACUUGGGCGGCAAAGGGAUGGUGCGGCGAGGCGGGGCAGCCGUGCUUGUCGGCGGCUUGGUGAUGACGCGUAACCUGUUAAAUAAAAUAAUUGGACAAAUUGUUGGUUAAAAAAAAGUGGUAAAUUGCGUGUAAAUGCAUUGGCCUGGAAAGGUGUGUUUAUUGAGUGGCAUUUUUAAAAUAAUAAAAUGGAAAAUGGACGAAUGAAAAAUACGUAGCGUAUCUACAGACUUGAGUGGCAAAGGGUUGGGGGGGGGGGCAGUUGUGCGCGUUGGUGGUUGUUGGUGUGUCGGUGUAAUUUGUUUAAAAUUUUAAUUAAAAAAAUGAUGAGUGAGGUAUGGAUUGGCGUAAAAAAGUGUGUGCAUUGCGUUAAAUUUUUUUAAAUAAUAAAAUGUUUAAUUGUGGAGUGGAAAUACGGGAGUGACCAGUGGGGCGAAGGGAUCGAGGGGGGGGGGUAGUUGUGCGCAUUCGUGGUUGUCGGUGGGCCGGUAAAAAGGCGUAAUUUGUUUAAAAAUGUUUAGAAUUUUAAUUUAAAAAAUAAUGAGUCGGGUUGUAAAUACAGUGGCCUAAAAAAGUGUGUGCCUGUUGUUUGAAUUGUGGCAUAAUUAAAUGGUUAAUUGGUUAGUGAGAAAUCAGGUGGAAUAUUAAGUGAGCAGUGUUUUUUUGGUGGUGGAUAGUCAGUGUUUUUUUUUUUUUUUUUUUAAUGUGAAUUGUUGAAGUGAGCUGUGGAAAAGGAGGAAUGCUGAGACAGCAGGCGACACAUUGCAGUUAUCCCGGUGAAGUGAGCUGUGGAAAAGGAGGAAUGCUGAGACAGCAUUCAACAGCAGGCGACAGUUUGCAGUUUGCAGUAUGCAGUUUGCAGUUUGCAGUUGAUAUCUCGGUGAGUCAAAAAUUAAAGAAUUUUUAUUUAAUGUUAAGCAAUUGUGAUAAAUUUUGAAUUAUUUGUCACAAAUGUUUAACGAUGCUCAUGAUGAGCUUCUAGUGGAUAAGAGGUGCGUUUAUCAGUUGUGAGAAAUUAAAAUUAAUUAAUUAAUAAAGUUAAGCUAGCCAGAGUCGGGGUUUUUGAAUUAAUUAGAGAAUUAGCUCUUAAUUGGAUUUUAUAUAAUUUUUUUGUGUCGUCAGUAAAAAUAAAAUGGUGAAAAAGCUUUGUUGAAAAAUGAAUUUUUGUAAUUUGUCAUGGAUUGUUGGACUCAGCUGUCUUAUAUACUGGUGGUUGUAGGAAGGGGUGUUUUUUGGGGGGGGGGCGCGGUGGGAAAUGAAGACGGGCGUUGCUGUAGAACUCAGCGGCCGCCGUCGGAUCCCGCACUUUAUCCGUCGGACUCGGACGUGCAUUGUCAUAGCCGUCGGAGUGCGACCUGUACCCUGAUUUACCCGUCGUACUUGGCCGUGGUGAAGUGCGACGUGGAGUCCCGUUUUGUAUAUGCCCUGUAUAUUGGGCGGUAAAAAGCGCGUAAAUUGAGGGUGGAGGGGAAUGAAGACGGGGGGACCGUCCAGAAUUCGACGGCCUCCUUGUCGGAGCCCCCGGGGUUUUGUUCCGUCGGAGUUGGACACCGAGGAAAAGGUAUCUGAUUCCGACGAAUCGUGUUGACCAAUUGAGCCAUCGUGUAUUAUAUAGGGGUGGAAAAUAUUUUUUGGACAAGCCUCGACGCAUUGAAUUGAAUGCGGAGGUUUAGUAUAUGCGGCGGCGGCUAGUUUGGGUGGAAUGGUAAAUUAUAAGAAAUGAAUAUUUGAAGAAAGCUUUUUGACGAUGAAAUGAAUAAUUAGUAAAAAAAUAAUUGAGUGGGAUGGUUAGCUUGACAGGUGGAUAUUUGUUAGUCGGAAUUUAGUAAUUUGCAUUGUAAAUGAUUUCUCACAAAUGAUGAAUAACCGUAAAGAGAACCUCGGGGGGAGGAGCAUUUAAAUGUAAAAGUGAUAAGGUAGUAAAAAUGUUUAACAUCUGUUAUGGGGAGAAAUAUAAAUUGAAAAUGUAUUUUUCAUUGCUAUUUCAUCGAGCCUGAGAAAUAUUUAACAAGGCUGAUAAAGAAUUGGGUUUUUUUUUGUGGGGGAUUUUAGUGAUGAACCCGGGGGUUGAUCGCUGUGAAAGUUGUAAGGUACUGUUAAUGGAUAAAUAUAAAUUUGUAAUUUUUUUGAAUUGAUAUUAAAUGGCGUGAGCAUGUUUUUAUGAAUAGAGAGAGUUAGAAGCGAAGUUUUGCAACAGUUAGUCAGAAUAAAGUCGUAAGAAUGUCACAAGAGGGUUUAAAUGAAGGAAUACUUAGCAAGGCGUGUGAAAAAUAGGGUUUUUAAAAUUGAUAAAAAUUUUUUGUUGGGUUGUCAGGUGUUAAAUUCAGAAGGUAUUGAAAAUGGGUGAAAUAAAAAUUUUGAAAAUAGGUUUAAUGGAUAUUCCAUGGUGUGAGACGAAUAUUUAGCAAUGCGUGUGAAAAAUUGAGUUUUUAAAAAUGAUUUUAAUGUUUUGCGGGGUUGUCAGGUGUUAAAUUGGUAACAUAUGGAAAAUUUUGAACCAUGUCGGUAAUUGGUUAGAGCGCGGGUGACUUGUUCCACACGUCGAUAACUAGUCUGUCGGUAAGAGUAUUGGACGGUCGGUAUCUCGGCGAUGGGUAAAUAGUCGACGAAGUGUAAUGACGUGACAGGGUUAUCAGCCGUCAAACUUUUACCGUAUUGAAAAUAGUUAAAAUCAAAAUUUUAAAAAUAGCUUUAAUGGAUAUUAAAUGGUGUGAGACGAAUAUUUAGCAACGCGUGUG
Diachasmimorpha longicaudata is the source of this 3528-nucleotide long non-coding RNA. RefSeq lists it as uncharacterized. Lineage: Eukaryota; Metazoa; Arthropoda; Insecta; Hymenoptera; Braconidae. The transcript is spliced from 2 exons. The record is from RefSeq and is a predicted model, not a curated record.